Molecule: long non-coding RNA, 1049 nt
Filed under: Vitis vinifera (wine grape)
Lineage: Eukaryota; Viridiplantae; Streptophyta; Magnoliopsida; Vitales; Vitaceae
Description: long non-coding RNA (VVIN_LNC004858)
Source: RNAcentral
AGAAGAUGAGCUCAUGAGAAUCCUCAUUCUUGUCCGGAAUUUCUUGCCUGGACACCAUCAGGUUAUUAGUGGGGAGUGGAAUGUUGCAGGUAUUGCUUACAGAGCUUAUGAUCUUGAAGGCAAGACAGUGGGAACUGUUGGUGCUGGACGUAUUGGUAGGCUUUUGCUCCAGCGAUUGAAGCCUUUCAACUGUAAUCUCCUCUAUCAUGAUCGGAUUAAAAUGGACCCAGAAUUGGAGAAUCAGAUAGGAGCAAAGUUUGAAGAGGAUGUUGAUGUGAUGCUUCCCAAAUGUGACAUAAUUGUCAUCAACAUGCCUCUUACUGAAAAAACAAAGUAACGAUUUCAUCUCAUAUUUGAUCUGGCUGAUUUGUUCUCAUCUAAAAAUUAACUUUUUAGCCAAACAUAGGAUCAGUUCAUGUGGAGCAAAUUAUUUUAAUGAGUUGUGGAUAUAUCUUCCAAUUUCUUUACAUAGAAAUAUGGGAGUUGUCUCUUUGUAGCUGCAACAAAUGUUGACAGCAAAUUGAGGGAACUCUUGGAUUCACCACAAAAAGAGUAUAAUAUUGUUGAAACUAGGCUACAAUCUAUGUUAGGGGUAAUGGCCCAAUGAUUAUAAGCUCAGGGAGGGCCAUCAACUGUGUCAUCAGCUUUUAUCAAAACUAGUGUUUUUAUUUGUUUGAGUGCUGUUGAUUAGGGUGUUCAGGACCAUGAACGUUGACAGUCAUACUGUUUGGGGAAGUUAACCAUAUUGUUCAAAUUUCCUAAUUCUCAAAGUGCUCCUUCACUAAUGACCCAAAUGUUCUUAUUCCAUGUUUAGCCCAAUGACUGUUUUAGUAUGGUUUGCAGCAGCAGCUGACUGGUUCACUACUACUGAUUCAAACAUACAUUUCUUGAAUCCACAAGUACCCUAGUAGGAAGCUAGUUGCCCCCUUUCAUAUACCAUUUGCUUGAAUCUAGCAUGGCAAUUCUACAAAAUUUGUGUUGUUGAACCCUAAAUUAUCAGAAUUUUGAUCUUGUAAUUCAGAGGAAUGUUCAACAAAGAGAGGAUUGCA